This is a long non-coding RNA of Sapajus apella (tufted capuchin), 92 nucleotides long. RefSeq lists it as uncharacterized. The transcript is spliced from 3 exons. The record is from RefSeq and is a predicted model, not a curated record. NCBI's taxonomy places the organism in Eukaryota, Metazoa, Chordata, Mammalia, Primates, Cebidae.
AAUAUAAAUUGUAGGCCAGGGACAGUAGUCCAUGCCUGUAUUCCCAACACUUUGGGAGGCAGAGGUGGGAGGAUUGCUUGAGCCCAGGAAUU